Molecule: ribosomal RNA, 305 nt
Filed under: uncultured bacterium
Lineage: Bacteria
Description: bacterial SSU rRNA
Rfam family: Bacterial small subunit ribosomal RNA
Source: RNAcentral
AGUCCUACGGGAGGCAGCAGUGAGGAAUAUUGGUCAAUGGACGCAAGUCUGAACCAGCCAUGCCGCGUGCAGGAAGACGGCUCUAUGAGUUGUAAACUGCUUUUGUACGAGGGUAAACGCAGAUACGCGUAUCUGUCUGAAAGUAUCGUACGAAUAAGGAUCGGCUAACUCCGUGCCAGCAGCCGCGGUAAUACGGAGGAUUCAAGCGUUAUCCGGAUUUAUUGGGUUUAAAGGGUGCGCAGGCGGCCCGUUAAGUCAGCGGUAAAAGCCCGGGGCUCAACCCCGGCGAGCCGUUGAAACUGGCG